UCCGGGAAACUGGAAUUAAUACCGCAUACGCCCUACGGGGGAAAGAUUUAUCGGGGAAGGAUUGGCCCGCGUUGGAUUAGCUAGUUGGUGGGGUAAAGGCCUACCAAGGCGACGAUCCAUAGCUGGUCUGAGAGGAUGAUCAGCCACAUUGGGACUGAGACACGGCCCAAACUCCUACGGGAGGCAGCAGUGGGGAAUAUUGGACAAUGGGCGCAAGCCUGAUCCAGCCAUGCCGCGUGAGUGAUGAAGGCCUUAGGGUUGUAAAGCUCUUUCACCGAUGAAGAUAAUGACGGUAGUCGGAGAAGAAGCCCCGGCUAACUUCGUGCCAGCAGCCGCGGUAAUACGAAGGGGGCUAGCGUUGUUCGGAAUUACUGGGCGUAAAGCGCACGUAGGCGGAUAUUUAAGUCAGGGGUGAAAUCCCGCAGCUCAACUGCGGAACUGCCUUUGAUACUGGGUAUCUUGAGUAUGGAAGAGGUAAGUGGAAUUCCGAGUGUAGAGGUGAAAUUCGUAGAUAUUCGGAGGAACACCAGUGGCGAAGGCGGCUUACUGGUCCA
This 554-nucleotide ribosomal RNA is filed under the name Rhizobium sp. RNAcentral describes it as "bacterial SSU rRNA". It matches the Rfam family "Bacterial small subunit ribosomal RNA", at positions 148 to 736 of the family's 1533-position model. Lineage: Bacteria; Pseudomonadati; Pseudomonadota; Alphaproteobacteria; Hyphomicrobiales; Rhizobiaceae. The record is from RNAcentral.